AUGGCGGAGCCCGUGCGCUCGCUCUUUGACUACCGCGAGCCUCCGACCCUGGACAGCGACGGGGAGGGGAGCAAACCGGCGCCCCCCCGGGGGCGUGUGUGUGGCCGGAAGAGGAAGGGGACCCCGGUGAAGGUGUGUGACAGGGUUUUUGUCACCGAGGAUGAGGAGGAGAGUUUGUCGGAGCACAGCUUUUGCCCAGGUGACGGGCAGUACCAGGAGGGCGAGGAGGACAGACUGCCUCCACCUGACAGCUCGUAUUACCUGGCAGACCCCUCCCCGAUUUGUGUGUCGGACCUCGGCGAUGAGGGCGGAAGCGGGGCCAGGGGGAGCGUACUGUACCCACCGCCUCCCAACUGCCGCAUCCGAGAGGUGCAUUGUGGGAGUCAAGUGCGGCUCGUCGUCAUAGCGAUCCGAGACAUCUCCAAGGGCGAGGAGAUUACCGUAAACUAUAGUCUGACGGAAUGGGGAGAAAAUGCCAUGGGAUUCCACAGCUCCGUGUCCCCUGGUGGGUUUGAGUGCAGCUCUGAUCCCGAGAACAACAUCAAGAAGGAGGAGGAAUCGGGUCCCGUGUCUCUCUCGCUUGCUGUCUCAGACUACCUCACGCCCUCCUGGUCCCUCUCUCCAUCAUCGUCCCCUCUCUCCCACUCGGAACCCAGCGACUCUGAUCACGAGGAUGAAGAGGAAGACGAGGAAGACGAGCUGGAGGAGCAGCGAGGUCGCAUGUUGCGGCGACGAAAGAGGCGGAAGACGCCCGCUGCGUCCAAGAAGAAGGCGUCUCCGAGGGCCGCCAGCCGCUCACACCCCUUCUCCCGCUCUGUGCCUCAGACCGCUGCGUCUCGGGCUCUCUUCAAGUCCCCUGCCCCAGCCCCCACCACCAGUAUCAACAACAACAUUAACAUUAACAUUGGGCGCGGUGUGGGUGGGGCCACAGGAGGUCCUGCACCGAAGCAACGCUGCCAGCACUGUGGCAGGCACUUCCGCUCACUGGCCCGCCACCUGGCAAAGCACCAUGCCCAGCAGCCUGAGGUCAAGUCCAGCAUGGAGCUCAGCCAGUUCCGCCCUCACACAGGCCCCGCCCACUCCCACACAAGCUCCUCCCUACCUUCGUCCUCAUCUGCCACUUCAUCCACUCCACCCAGUCUCUUCACCAGGGACGCGCAGCCUGGUGCGAUGUCCCUGUCUCUGUCCCUGACUCCAUCAGCUCACAGCCACGCCCCCACAGCGUCCAGGAAGAGCCCAGCCCUCUCGACCUCUCCCAGAAAGAGUCCCAUACCGGCACUGCAGUCUCCGCCUCGGAAGGGGUCCGUCUUAGCUGCUGCACCAAAAAAGAGCCCCGCCCCUUCAACUCCUCCCAGGAAAGGUGGACGUCGGAUGAAGAAGGAGAAAGAGGAGGAGGCAGAGCCGGCCGAGUCAGGUGCGGGGCGAGUGAAUCAGGUGCAGGAGGUGCCGCCCCCGACCACCUACCGGAGUGAGGCUAAAGGAGAAGAGCAACAGGAAAGGGCACCGGGAAGAGAGGAGGAGAGUGCAGGAGAGGACAAGAAAGGGGCUGUGACCAGUGCCGGCCGGUCCCACAUGUUGCCGCUGCUGUCGUCGCUCUCGUCCCUGGUCAUAUACUUGCAGCGCCUGCAGCACUCGGCCUUCCUGUCGCUGUCGCGCUCGCCACAGUCGGCUGAGGCCUGGCGGCUGCUGUGUCACUCGAGCCUGGCACUGCUCAUCCUCUACAAUCGGCGGCGUGAGUGUGAGGCCUCCAAGCUCACUCUGCAGGAGUACUGUGCCCGCGUCCGUCCGCAGUGUCCCGCCCCGGUACCCCCCGGGGCCCCACCCGCCCUCACCCCGUUGGAGGCCUCGCUCUCUCCUUUCGAGCGCCAGGUGCUUCCCCACCUCCCACGGGUGGGUGUGCAGGGCAAGCGGGGCCGCGUGCAGCCCCUCAUCUUGCCGCCCCACAGCGAGCCUUGCCUGGAGCUGCUGCUACAGACCCGUUCGGGCGUGGGCGUGGACCCGCAGAACCCCUACGUGUUUGCACGGCCUUACCACUCGCCAGCCACGCCCUUGCGGGGCACCGACCUACUGCGCAGCCUGGCACGUGCCAGCGGCACCCGCAAUCCGCGUGCACUCACCCAAACACGGCUGCGCCGGCAGGUGGCCAUCCUCACACAGCUGUUGCUGCUGGUCGAGGGUGAGGGGGGCGAAGGAGGUGCUGCUGCCCGUCGCCUCGAGAACUUCCUGCAGAAGGAGUACCAUGUGACGCAGAGCUGCUCCGGCAUCGCCCAGGACCCGGGGCUCAUGGGACGUGUGGCUCGUGUGGUGCUAUGCGGCGAGAGGGACGGUGUCCUCUUUCGGGGCAUGAGCCUGCACCACAUCUGCCUGGAGCUAGACGUGAUGUCGGGGAACUCGGCCGACUCCUUCUCGGAUGACUCCGAGGGAGAGCGGGCGCCGGGCAAGGAGAGCGCCACCAAGAAGGACGCAGCCACCUCCAAGUCGCCCCGCCAAGGCAAAGCCAGCUCCACCCCUGCCUCAGCCAGCCAGGCCGGCUGUACCCCGGUAUCUCGCAAGAGGGGUGGAGGGCAGCCCAAGCCAGGGAAGCGUGGGGUCCUCAAGCGGCCAUGGUCGGAGGCAGAGCGUGCCGCUGUGGAGACCCACCUGACGAGGAACAUCAUGGAGCUGCGGGUUCCUGCCAAGGCAGACUGCGAGCGCUGCCUUCAACACUGCCCCCUACUGGUGGCCAAUCGCAGGGACUGGCGUGCCAUCAAGUUCUACUGCCACAACCGCAUCCAGCUGCUGAAGAAAAAGGGCAGGCGGGAGGUGGCGGAACAGGGUGGCUCCGGCACCAUCUGAGGGGGUGGGGGGAACUAGCACUCUGUGUCCAAAACUGUUGGCUGCACCAGCUUGAUGUAGUAGUGAAGUGAAAGCACACACUGCAGAGAGGUUGCACUCUGCAGCAGUUGAUGUUACACCCACCCCAUCCAGAACAUGAAGUUCGGGGUUGGACGAUACCCCCCCCAGCACCGCGCUGGUUCUUUUUCUACCUCUGUUCUCAGUCGUUCAUUCAGCAUUGUUCUUUGGACAGGUGUUCAGCUCACCUGAUGUUCCAGGUGUGAAGAGGAGUGUGUGUGUGUUCCCUGGUAUCCCCUGGACAGACCUUGACUUAUUUCCCUCUGUCUGCAAACGUACCAUUAUGCAGACACAGGGCUACUGUUGUUGUGACGAGAAGGGACACACACACACGCUCGAUUUCGCCGACUGAACUGAAGCGAGUGUGAUGCAGCCUAUUUCUCAUUCCAUCUUCCUGCUGGGAACCGCAGCUGUAAAAUUCUUGUUACUUUUAUGAACAAAAAUGUGAGCGGAGCAUUAGCAACGUACAUAUGAAGUGAUGUACAGUAUCAUUUUGCCACUUGACUACCUGCAUAUUUGUUGCUGUUUUGUUGUAUUUUUACAAUACAGUGACAGGUGUAUGGAAAUUGAAUUUAAUGACAGCACUUCACUGACAGUGGUUUUAAUACGUAUCAUAAUAAUUAUUGUUAUAUGACCGUUCUACUGGAGGACACUGAAUGAACCUCGGGAAUGUUCCAGAACUCGGUUAGUGGAAAUGCCCUGUGUGUCAUGGCAGAAAGCAGCUUUGUGUGUUUUGUCCUUUUCCUUUUUGUUGUCAUAUACUUGAAGUUAUUUAAUAAUGUCCAUUUUCUCUCAUUGGAGACACUCACAAACUCAAGGUUCCUGUUGCUCAUGUACAGAAUAUUAUAUUUCACAUUCUUGUACUGCUCACUGAUAUUUUGAUUCCCAUGGAGACAUGCUGUAAUUUUUUCUGUAAAUAAUCUGUGAACCUAUAAAAGGAUUU
Molecule: long non-coding RNA, 3835 nt
Organism: Scleropages formosus (Asian bonytongue)
Lineage: Eukaryota; Metazoa; Chordata; Actinopteri; Osteoglossiformes; Osteoglossidae
Source: Ensembl